GUGGGGAAUCUUGCGCAAUGGGCGAAAGCCUGACGCAGCCAUGCCGCGUGAAUGAUGAAGGUCUUAGGAUUGUAAAAUUCUUUCACCGGGGACGAUAAUGACGGUACCCGGAGAAGAAGCUCCGGCUAACUUCGUGCCAGCAGCCGCGGUAAUACGAAGGGGGCUAGCGUUGCUCGGAAUUACUGGGCGUAAAGGGCGCGUAGGCGGACAGCUUAGUCAGAGGUGAAAGCCCAGGGCUCAACCUUGGAAUUGCCUUUGAUACUGGCUGUCUUGAGUUUGGGAGAGGUGAGUGGAACUCCGAGUGUAGAGGUGAAAUUCGUAGAUAUUCGGAAGAACACCAGUGGCGAAGGCGACUCACUGGCCCGUUACUGACGCUGAGGCGCGAAAGCGUGGGGAGCAAACAGGAUUAGAAACCCUGGUGUCC
This 424-nucleotide ribosomal RNA is filed under the name uncultured bacterium. RNAcentral describes it as "partial 16S ribosomal RNA". It matches the Rfam family "Bacterial small subunit ribosomal RNA", at positions 354 to 796 of the family's 1533-position model. The record is from RNAcentral.